ACGCACGGAGCGCGAGCUCACUGGUGGCACAGACCCACCACGCUCACGGGGCAGGUGCUGAGUCCUGUUUAAAGAAAAGGAGGCCUGGAAGGUGUGGGGGGAGAAACAUGACCUUGGACGUCCUGGUGGCAGAGCUGAUGUCCGUCUGUCCUGUCUAACAGUAUAAUCGGGGGUCCGUGCCCUUAACUGCUACACCCCACCAGGCUCCCCCACCAGGUGACAUGACGCGGGGCCCGGGAGAGAAGGGCUGAGUCCUCGUGGUCACGUGUGUGUGAUGUGCACACAACAACAACAGGUAAAUGAGUCACCAGGAAAGGGGGAGGGGCUCACAUUUCUGGGCACAGGCCAGCUCCGGUGGCUUGGGAAGUGCCUGUGUCUCCCGGGGCUGGUGGGGUGGUGGGGGAUGGCACUAGGAGCUCCCGGGGCAGGCAGACAGGGGAGGGGCAGGCCGGCCCCCACCAGCAGUCCCCUCUCACCUCCCUCAGUUAGAGCUGAGCGCCCCCCCCCCGCCCCAUCCCUCUCCAGAGCGUCCAGGGAUUCAUUUAAAAACAGCAGUUGAACCCCCAUGUUUUCUGAUUCCAUCAGAAAUGCUGGUUCGCUGUGGAGAGUUUGGAAGGUGCUGGCAUGUAGAAGUUAGAACAUAAAAUUACUCAUAAUCCCCCUGAGAGAAGGGCUGGAAAGAGUGUGGGCUGUUCCUUUCCAGCUUCCCCCUCUCUGGAAAUCUGUUUCCCUGUUGUGUCUACAGUCCUUUAUUCCACCAAUGUUUACUGAGCACCUACAAUGUCCCAGGCACUGUCCCUGCCCCGCUACCAUGUGAAACAGAGGCCCUGGGAAGAUGCCCUUGGAACCCUGCUCACCCGUGGUGCCUGGCCCUGCGUGCCUCUCCAUGUCCGCGGGGCCCCGCCUUGCCCUGUCUGGGCUCUGCCCUCUCCCUGAUGGGCUCCAGUGAUGUCCUGGCUUUGGAUCUUGGUCCUCCUGGCCUUGGUGAGUCAGCCUCCCAGACCCACGGUUUCUCCUCUGCCCAGUGCUGAUUGCACCUGACCUCUUGCGGGAUCCUGCCUUCCAAGCAGCCACAGAGGAUACUGCCUCUAGGACUUCUUCCCUUGGACACUCCCCACCUCCACAUCAGCAUUUCCUGAACCCAACGCCCUGCAGCCCCCACACCUGCUCCUCCCCCGCCGUGUCCCCUACAUCUGGGGACCACCCACACAGUUCAUCAAGCUGGAAGCACCGAACACCCUACCCCAGCUCCUCCAAAGACGUCACUGAAGGUUUUCGGACCCCACCUCCUCCAGGGCGCUGGAGUCUGUCCGCUUGGCUUCAUCCACCUUGGUCCCCAGUGGAGCCCAGGAAGCUUCCUCUCCCUGGUCCACACCCCAGAGCACCUUCUUCGAAGUCUCCUCCCCAGGGUCCCUCUCAGUCCACAGUGUAGACGCAGUGAGUUUUUAAGCCAUGCACUUCUGAUCUUGUCACCCUGCCUGAAACUCUUCAAUGUCGACGCUCCCACGGCUCUUAAGAAUGUGGUCAAGGGGUGCCUUAGUCGGGCCUCAGUCUGAUAAGCGUCUGACUUCGGCUCAGGUCACAAUCUCCCGGUUCGUGGGUUCGAGCCCUGCACCGGACUCUGCGCUGACAGCUCAGAGCCUGGAGCCCGCUUCCAAUUCUGUGUUUCCCAGUCUCUCUGCCCCCCCCCCCCCCACUCUC
Acinonyx jubatus (cheetah) is the source of this 1701-nucleotide long non-coding RNA. RefSeq lists it as uncharacterized. NCBI's taxonomy places the organism in Eukaryota, Metazoa, Chordata, Mammalia, Carnivora, Felidae. The record is from RefSeq and is a predicted model, not a curated record. The transcript is spliced from 2 exons.